AACGCGGUGAUACCACCCGCACGUAUAGAUGGACAAGAAUAGGCUUCGGCUUAGCGUCUUAGCAGGCGAUUCUUCCACGGCGCUCGAAGCGCGUCGUGGUAUUUCGCGUAUUGUAAUUUCAACACGAGCGGGGUCAAAUCCUUUGCAGACGACUUAGCUGUGCGAAACGGUCCUGUAAGCAGUAGAGUAGCCUUGUUGUUACGAUCUGCUGAGGGUAAGCCGUCCUUCGCCUCGAUUU
RNAcentral lists this ribosomal RNA (238 nucleotides) under Fusarium pseudocircinatum. Its description in RNAcentral is "partial 28S ribosomal RNA". It matches the Rfam family "Eukaryotic large subunit ribosomal RNA", at positions 3153 to 3399 of the family's 3401-position model. The record is from RNAcentral. Lineage: Eukaryota; Fungi; Ascomycota; Sordariomycetes; Hypocreales; Nectriaceae.